AAUUUGGCAUCCAAAACAUUGGUGGAUCAAAGAUUUUUGAUUUAACUUCCUGAAUAAAUAACUUAAAGACUCAAUAUAAUCAUGGCCAAAAAAAAGUCAUGAUAUCAGGAAUAUAACAUUAUUGGGGCAGAGGUCCCAGCCAUUGCCAAAGUUGAAUCUUUUACAUUUCCGUGAAUCUUGAGGAUGACUGAAAAGGAAGUCUUUGAAAUUGCAGUUUCUGAAGGAUCACAGUACAGGAAUGCCUUUAUAAAAGCUGCAGAGAUAAAUACAUGUACUGGCAUGGAUAUUUAAAACCACUCACUCAGAAGCAUAUGAAAGAAAUUCAACCAUCAUUCAACAUAGAAGAAGUUAAUUUUAGUGCAAAUGUUUUUAAGUAUUAAAUUUCACAAUAAAGGAUCAGUUGGCUUACUUACUGAUAAAUUAAAACAGAGAAAACAUUUGAAAUC
This 446-nucleotide small RNA is filed under the name Pongo abelii (Sumatran orangutan). RNAcentral describes it as "processed transcript". The record is from RNAcentral. Lineage: Eukaryota; Metazoa; Chordata; Mammalia; Primates; Hominidae.